RNAcentral lists this ribosomal RNA (468 nucleotides) under uncultured bacterium. RNAcentral describes it as "partial 16S ribosomal RNA". It matches the Rfam family "Bacterial small subunit ribosomal RNA", at positions 28 to 507 of the family's 1533-position model. The record is from RNAcentral.
GACGAACGCUGGCGGCGUGCUUAACACAUGCAAGUCGAGCGGACAGGCCCUGCUUUUGUGGGGUUCUCGAGUGGCGAACGGGUGAGUAACACGUGAGUAACCUGCCCUUGACUGUGGGAUAACUUCAGGAAACUGGGGCUAAUACCGGAUAUGAGCUCCUGCUGCAUGGUGGGGGUUGGAAAGUUUCGGCGGUGGGGGAUGGACUCGCGGCUUAUCAGCUUGUUGGUGGGGUAGUUGCUUACCAAGUCUUUGACGGGUAGCCGGCCUGAGAGGGUGACCGGCCACAUUGGGACUGAGAUAGGGCGCAGACUGGUACGGGAGGCAGCAGUGGGGAAUAUUGCACAAUGGGCGGGAGCCUGAUGCAGCAACGCCGCGUGCGGGAUGACGGCUUUCGAGUUGUGAACAGAUUUCGACUGUGACGAAGCGUGAGUGACGGUAAUGAGUAAGGAAGCACCGGCUAACUACGUG